RNAcentral lists this ribosomal RNA (468 nucleotides) under uncultured bacterium. RNAcentral's name for it is "partial 16S ribosomal RNA". It matches the Rfam family "Bacterial small subunit ribosomal RNA", at positions 28 to 507 of the family's 1533-position model. The record is from RNAcentral.
GACGAACGCUGGCGGCGUGCUUAACACAUGCAAGUCGAACGGAAAGGCCCUGCUUUUGUGGGGUGCUCGAGUGGCGAACGGGUGAGUAACACGUGAGUAACCUGCCCUUGACUUUGGGAUAACUUCAGGAAACUGGGGCUAAUACCGGAUAGGAGCUCCUGCUGCAUGGUGGGGGUUGGAAAGUUUCGGCGGUUGGGGAUGAGCUCGCGGCUUAUCAGCUUGUUGGUGGGGUAGUGGCUUACCAAGGCUUUGACGGGUAGCCGGCCUGAGAGGGUGACCGGCCACAUUGGGACUGAGAUACGGCCCAGACUCCUACGGGAGGCAGCAGUGGGGAAUAUUGCACAAUGGGCGGAAGCCUGAUGCAGCAACGCCGCGUGCGGGAUGACGGCCUUCGGGUUGUAAACCGCUUUCGCCUGUGACGAAGCGUGAGUGACGGUAAUGGGUAAAGAAGCACCGGCUAACUACGUG